UCAAGCUACAAAGGGCGCAUGGUGAAUGCCUUGGCAUCAGGAGCCGAUGAAGGACGUGAUAAGCUGCGAUAAGCUUCGGGUAGGCGCACAUAGCCUGAGAUCCGAAGAUCUCCGAAUGAGGAAACUCACAUGGGAAACCCCAUGUAUCAUUAAGUGAAUACAUAGCUUAAUGAAGGUAACCCAGGGAACUGAAACAUCUAAGUACCUGGAGGAAGAGAAAGAAAAAUCGAUUUUCUUAGUAGCGGCGAGCGAAAGGGAAAGAGCCCAAACCGGAAACUUGUUUCCGGGGUUGUGGACAUAGCAUAGAAGUGGAGGCUAUUGUAACUGAAGAGAACUGGAAAGUUCCACCGUAGAAGGUAAUAGUCCUGUAAGUGAAACGAGAAGACCACGAGUUAUGAUCCAGAGUACCACGAGACACGUGAAACCUUGUGGGAAGCAGGGAGGACCACCUCCCAAGGCUAAAUACUACCUGAUGACCGAUAGUGAAGCAGUACCGUGAGGGAAAGGUGAAAAGAACCCCGGGAGGGGAGUGAAAUAGAACCUGAAACCGUGUGCCUACAACCGCUCAGAGCCCCUUAUGAGGGUGAUGAGGUGCUUUUUGUAGAACGAGCCAACGAGUUACGGUAUGUAGCAAGGUUAAGUACUUAAGGUACGGAGCCGAAGGGAAACCGAGUCUGAAUAGGGCGACUAGUUGCAUGCCGUAGACCCGAAACCGGGUGACCUAUCCAUGGCCAGGUUGAAGCGAGGGUAAAACCUCGUGGAGGACCGAACCACGUUGCUGUUGAAAAAGCAUGGGAUGAGCUGUGGAUAGCGGAGAAAUUCCAAUCGAACCCGGAGAUAGCUGGUUCUCUCCGAAAUAGCUUUAGGGCUAGCGUCGAGUAUGAGUAGUGGAGGUAGAGCACUGAAUGGGCUAGGGGGCAUAGCGCUUACCGAACCUUAUCAAACUCCGAAUGCCACAUACUUUGAGCUCGGCAGUCAGACUACGAAUGAUAAGAUCCGUGGUCAAAAGGGAAACAGCCCAGAUCGUCAGCUAAGGUCCCAAAGUGUAAGUUAAGUGGGAAAGGAUGUGAGAUUUCUAAGACAACUAGGAUGUUGGCUUAGAAGCAGCCAUUCAUUAAAAGAGUGCGUAAUAGCUCACUAGUCGAGAGAUCUUGCGCCGAAAAUGUAACGGGGCUAAACUUACCACCGAAGCUACGGGCUUGAACUUAGUUCAAGCGGUAGGAGAGCGUCGUAACCGGGCUGAAGUCGUACCGUAAGGAGCGGUGGACUGGUUACGAGUGAGAAUGUUGGCAUCAGUAGCGAGAUGUGGGUGAGAAUCCCACAGGCCGAAAACCUAAGGUUUCCUCAGGAAGGUUCGUCCGCUGAGGGUUAGUCGGGACCUAAGCCGAGGCCGAAAGGCGUAGGUGAUGGACAACUGGUUGAUAUUCCAGUACCACUACCAUCGUUAUUAUCGAUGGCGUGACGCAGGAGGAUAGUGUGUGCUAGCUAUUGGAUGCUAGUCUAAGCGUUUAGGCAGUGAGAGUAGGCAAAUCCGCUCUCAUAAUGCUGAGGCGUGAUGGGGAAGGUUCUACGGAACCGAAGUACAUGAUUCCACGCUGCCAAGAAAAGCGUCUAGAGAGAGAAGUAGUGCCCGUACCGCAAACCGACACAGGUAGGUGAGGAGAGAAUCCUAAGGCCGGCGGAAGAAUUACAGUUAAGGAACUCGGCAAAUUGACCCCGUAAGUUCGCGAGAAGGGGUGCCUACGAGAGUAGGCCGCAGAGAAUAGGCCCAAGCAACUGUUUAGCAAAAACACAGGUCUCUGCUAAAGCGUAAGCUGAUGUAUAGGGGCUGACGCCUGCCCGGUGCUGGAAGGUUAAGGGGAACACUUAGCGCAAGCGAAGGUGUGAACUUAAGCCCCAGUAAACGGCGGCCGUAACUAUAACGGUCCUAAGGUAGCGAAAUUCCUUGUCAGGUAAGUUCUGACCCGCACGAAUGGCGUAAUGACUUGGGCACUGUCUCAACUGUAAAUCCGGCGAAGUUGUAGUGCGAGUGAAGAUGCUCGCUACCCGCGAUUGGACGGAAAGACCCCGUAGAGCUUUACUGUAGCUUAGCAUUGAGUUUUGGUAUUGUCUGUACAGGAUAGGUGGGAGACUAGGAAACCAGGGCGUCAGCCUUGGUAGAGUCAACCUUGGGAUACCACCCUGACAGUACUGAAAUUCUAACUGGCGGCCAUGAAUCUGGUCACAGGACAUUGUUAGGUGGGCAGUUUGACUGGGGCGGUCGCCUCCUAAAAAGUAACGGAGGCGCCCAAAGGUUCCCUCAGAACGGUCGGAAAUCGUUCGAAGAGUGCAAAGGCAGAAGGGAGCCUGACUGCGACACCCACAAGUGGAGCAGGGACGAAAGUCGGGCUUAGUGAUCCGGUGGUACCUCGUGGGAGGGCCAUCGCUCAACGGAUAAAAGCUACCUCGGGGAUAACAGGCUGAUCUCCCCCAAGAGUCCACAUCGACGGGGAGGUUUGGCACCUCGAUGUCGGCUCGUCGCAUCCUGGGGCUGAAGUAGGUCCCAAGGGUUGGGCUGUUCGCCCAUUAAAGCGGCACGCGAGCUGGGUUCAGAACGUCGUGAGACAGUUCGGUCCCUAUCCGUCGCGGGCGUAGGAAAUUUGAGAGGAGCUGUCCUUAGUACGAGAGGACCGGGAUGGACUGACCUCUGGUGUACCAGUUGUUCCGCCAGGAGCACAGCUGGGUAGCUAAGUCGGGAAUGGAUAAACGCUGAAAGCAUCUAAGCGUGAAGCCAACCUCAAGAUGAGAUUUCCCAUAGCGUAAGCUAGUAAGAUCCCUUGAAGAACACAAGGUUGAUAGGUCGGGGGUGUAAGCAUGGUAACAUGUUCAGCUGACCGAUACUAAUAGAUCGAGGGCUUGACCAA
RNAcentral lists this ribosomal RNA (2903 nucleotides) under Clostridium perfringens. RNAcentral describes it as "23S ribosomal RNA". It matches the Rfam family "Bacterial large subunit ribosomal RNA". The record is from RNAcentral. Lineage: Bacteria; Bacillati; Bacillota; Clostridia; Eubacteriales; Clostridiaceae.